AUAUUAAUAAGCGGAGGAAAAGAAACUAACAAGGAUUCCCCGAGUAACGGCGAGUGAAGCGGGAAGAGCUCAGGCUGAAAUCUUCGGAGAUGUAGUCUGCAGAAGUGAAGGUCGGGCUAAGAGUCUGCAUAGAAGUUGUCUGGGAUGACACGCCAAGGAGGGUGAUAGCCCCGUUCAUUAUGCAGAGUUCUCUGGCAGCACCUCGCUUCGAAGAGUCGAGUUGUUUGGGAUUGCAGCUCUAAUAGGAGGUAAAUCCCUUCUAAAGCUAAAUAUGGAUGGGAGACCGAUAGCGCACAAGUA
Molecule: ribosomal RNA, 300 nt
Filed under: uncultured eukaryote
Lineage: Eukaryota
Description: partial large subunit ribosomal RNA
Rfam family: Eukaryotic large subunit ribosomal RNA
Source: RNAcentral